Molecule: RNA transcript, 921 nt
Organism: Triplophysa dalaica
Lineage: Eukaryota; Metazoa; Chordata; Actinopteri; Cypriniformes; Nemacheilidae
Gene: ybey
Gene name: ybeY metalloendoribonuclease
Exons: 5
Source: RefSeq, a predicted model, not a curated record
ACGCAUGCGUAGCAGCCACUUGCUUUAAAUCAAUGGAAGGAGCGCUGAGAAAUGAUCGAGAUCAUGAGGAGUUCAGGAAAACUUCCUUAUCUUUUGUAAUACUUAUACAUUAUACUUUCCCGAAAGGAGUUAGUACCUGCUGUCCUGUCUGCACAGUAAAACGCGUUUAAUAGCGCAACAGAACGUCUCCUCAGGGACGUCAGAUGGAGAUAUUUGGUGCUGUAUUAUAUGUGUAAGUUAGUAUUUAUAUGAUGGGUGUAGUAGUGAGGAAUCUACAGAGUGUGGUGUCUCUGAGACGCGCGAGACUGAGAGCAGAUGUCGAAACACUGAGACUGAUCUUCGGUGUCCAGAGGUUUGACAUGAGCGUCAUAUGCGUGGACAACCGCAAGAUACAGAGAAUAAACAACGUGUACAGGAGACAGAACCAACCCACCGAUGUGCUCUCAUUCCCUUUCCACGAGGACCUGAGGCCUGGCAGACUGCCGUACGCACUCCACAGAGACGAGUAUAAUUUAGGGGACAUUUUCUUAGGAGUAGAAUAUAUAAUCCAACAGUGUAAAGAUACAUCUCAGGACCUUCACGAGACCCUUACAGUGGUCACAGCACAUGGAAUCUGCCACUUACUUGGAUACAGACAUGAAACUGAUGAAGAGUGCAAUGAGAUGCUACAGAAGGAAAGUUACAUUAUCAGAGAGUUCAACCGGAUAACAGGCAGCCGACUGGAACCCCUCACAAAGAGAUGCACGUAACACACGCACAUGAUGGCUACUGGAAACAUCUAAUUAAUGUACACUGAAAUGAACCAGAACACAGGAGAAUCAGAGGAGGAACAGGUGUUCUUGGGAUGAGUGGUGUGCUGUUACCCACGGCUCACUUCAGCUCUUCAUCAGUAGAAUGAUCGGCAUUGUGUGUCUGUGUGUG